This 430-nucleotide ribosomal RNA is filed under the name Pseudomonadota bacterium. RNAcentral describes it as "Proteobacteria bacterium partial 16S ribosomal RNA". It matches the Rfam family "Bacterial small subunit ribosomal RNA", at positions 355 to 776 of the family's 1533-position model. The record is from RNAcentral. Lineage: Bacteria; Pseudomonadati; Pseudomonadota.
UGGGGAAUAUUGGACAAUGGGGGGAACCCUGAUCCAGCCAUGCCGCGUGUGUGAAGAAGGCCUUAUGGUUGUAAAGCACUUUAAGCGAGGAGGAGGGUACUGGUAUUAAUACUACCAGGUACUGGACGUUACUCGCAGAAUAAGCACCGGCUAACUCUGUGCCAGCAGCCGCGGUAAUACAGAGGGUGCGAGCGUUAAUCGGAUUUACUGGGCGUAAAGCGUGCGUAGGCGGCUAAUUGAGUCGGAUGUGAAAUCCCCGAGCUUAACUUGGGAAUUGCAUUCGAUACUGGUUAGCUAGAGUGUGGGAGAGGAUGGUAGAAUUCCAGGUGUAGCGGUGAAAUGCGUAGGGAUCUGGAGGAAUACCGAUGGCGAAGGCAGCCAUCUGGCCUAACACUGACGCUGAGGUACGAAAGCAUGGGGAGCAAACAGG